This 207-nucleotide ribosomal RNA is filed under the name uncultured bacterium. RNAcentral describes it as "partial 16S ribosomal RNA". It matches the Rfam family "Bacterial small subunit ribosomal RNA", at positions 1294 to 1500 of the family's 1533-position model. The record is from RNAcentral.
CGGAUUGUAGGCUGCAACUCGCCUACAUGAAGUCGGAAUUGCUAGUAAUCGCGGAUCAGCAUGCCGCGGUGAAUACGUUCCCGGGCCUUGUACACACCGCCCGUCACACCAUGGGAGUCGGUAACACCCGAAGCCUGUAGUCUAACCGCAAGGAGGACGCAGUCGAAGGUGGGAUUGAUGACUGGGGUGAAGUCGUAACAAGGUAAC